This 433-nucleotide ribosomal RNA is filed under the name uncultured bacterium. RNAcentral's name for it is "partial 16S ribosomal RNA". It matches the Rfam family "Bacterial small subunit ribosomal RNA", at positions 29 to 507 of the family's 1533-position model. The record is from RNAcentral.
AACGAACGCUGGCGGCAUGCCUAACACAUGCAAGUCGAACGAGACCUUCGGGUCUAGUGGCGCACGGGUGCGUAACGCGUGGGAACCUGCCCUUAGGUUCGGAAUAACUCCCCGAAAGGGGUGCUAAUACCGGAUAAUGUCUUCGGACCAAAGAUUUAUCGCCUUUGGAUGGGCCCGCGUUGGAUUAGCUAGUUGGUAGGGUAAAAGCCUACCAAGGCGACGAUCCAUAGCUGGUCUGAGAGGAUGAUCAGCCACACUGGGACUGCGACACGGCCCAGACUCCUACGGGAGGCAGCAGUGGGGAAUAUUGGACAAUGGGCGAAAGCCUGAUACAGCAAUGCCGCGUGAGUGAUGAAGGCCUUAGGGUUGUAAAGCUCUUUUACCCGGGAUGAUAAUGACAGUACCGGGAGAAUAAGCUCCGGCUAACUCCGUG